This is a non-coding RNA of Podarcis lilfordi (Lilford's wall lizard), 71 nucleotides long. The record is from the annotation of a GenBank genome assembly. Lineage: Eukaryota; Metazoa; Chordata; Lepidosauria; Squamata; Lacertidae.
GGGCCACAGCUCAAUGGAAGAGCAACUGUUUUGAGUGCAGAAGGUCCUGGGUUCCAUUCCUAGCAUCUCCA